Long non-coding RNA from Pseudomyrmex gracilis, 533 nucleotides. RefSeq lists it as uncharacterized. Lineage: Eukaryota; Metazoa; Arthropoda; Insecta; Hymenoptera; Formicidae. The record is from RefSeq and is a predicted model, not a curated record. The transcript is spliced from 3 exons.
AGUAAGAGUAAGGAGAUCGAACUCCGUGAUAUAAAAGUAGUCCCGAUUCUGACGCCUAAUUGGGAGGGAAUCCGCUCAAGGGAAUAGUUUCUUACGGUUGGACGCCAUUUGCAAUUAGUAACGUAACCUAACUUUAUCUGUCAGUUUUGUUUCUUUACAAAUCAUGGCAUGCUGGAUACGUGGAUGCGAGACCAAAGGAGGGAAACAUGUUUCCAGAAAAAGAAGUCUUUUUACACCUAGGACAGUUUUCAUUGGAGAAAAAGAAAUUGAUUGUCUCAGUGGAAAAGUGGACAGCAUACAUCAGAUUCAAAGUCUUCUCAAAAAGAUAUCUUAUGUUCAUCCAUGCAAAGAAGUUGGCAAUAAAACCUGGUACUAACCCAGUAAACACAUAGUAACAUUCAUCUUUCUGCUGCGAAUAUGUCACAAGAGAUCGCACAGUGCGCGGUGUGCAGCGUGACAGAUGCAUUUACAUAUACUAACGUGUACAUGUGGUAGUUUUGCAAAUGGCGUCCAACCGUAAGAAACUAUUUCUU